AGGUAAGCUACUAAGAGCGAAUGGUGGAUGCCUUGACUGGUAAAGGCGAUGAAGGACGUACUAGACUGCGAUAAGCUACGGGGAGCUGUCAAGAAGCUUUGAUCCGUAGAUUUCCGAAUGGGGCAACCCAAUGUAUAGAGAUAUACAUUACCUAUAUAGGAGCGAACGAGGGGAAUUGAAACAUCUUAGUACCCUCAGGAAAAGAAAUCAAUAGAGAUUGCGUCAGUAGCGGCGAGCGAAAGCGCAAGAGGGCAAACCCAGUGCUUGCACUGGGGGUUGUAGGACUGCAAUGUGCAAGAGGUAAGUUUAGCAGAACAUUCUGGAAAGUAUAACCAUAGAGGGUGAUAGUCCCGUAUGCGAAAAACAAACCUUAGCUAGCAGUAUCCUGAGUAGGGCGGGACACGAGGAAUCCUGUCUGAAUCCGGGUCGACCACGAUCCAACCCUAAAUACUAAUACCAGAUCGAUAGUGCACAAGUACCGUGAGGGAAAGGUGAAAAGAACUGAGGUGAUCAGAGUGAAAUAGAACCUGAAACCAUUUGCUUACAAUCAUUCAGAGCCCUAUGUAGCAAUACAGGGUGAUGGACUGCCUUUUGCAUAAUGAGCCUGCGAGUUGUGGUGUCUGGCAAGGUUAAGCAAACGCGAAGCCGUAGCGAAAGCGAGUCUGAAUAGGGCGCUUAGUCAGAUGCUGCAGACCCGAAACGAAGUGAUCUAUCCAUGAGCAAGUUGAAGCUAGUGUAAGAACUAGUGGAGGACUGAACCCAUAGGCGUUGAAAAGCCCCGGGAUGACUUGUGGAUAGGGGUGAAAGGCCAAUCAAACUUCGUGAUAGCUGGUUCUCUCCGAAAUAUAUUUAGGUAUAGCGUUGUGUCGUAAUAUAAGGGGGUAGAGCACUGAAUGGGCUAGGGCAUACACCAAUGUACCAAACCCUAUCAAACUCCGAAUACCUUAUAUGUAAUCACAGCAGUCAGGCGGCGAGUGAUAAAAUCCGUCGUCAAGAGGGAAACAACCCAGACUACCAGCUAAGGUCCCUAAAUCUUACUUAAGUGGAAAACGAUGUGAAGUUACUUAAACAACCAGGAGGUUGGCUUAGAAGCAGCCAUCCUUUAAAGAAAGCGUAAUAGCUCACUGGUCUAGUGAUUUUGCGCGGAAAAUAUAACGGGGCUAAAGUAAGUACCGAAGCUGUAGACUUAGUUUACUAAGUGGUAGGAGAGCGUUCUAUUUGCGUCGAAGGUAUACCGGUAAGGAGUGCUGGAGCGAAUAGAAGUGAGCAUGCAGGCAUGAGUAGCGAUAAUUAAUGUGAGAAUCAUUAACGCCGUAAACCCAAGGUUUCCUACGCGAUGCUCGUCAUCGUAGGGUUAGUCGGGUCCUAAGUCGAGUCCGAAAGGGGUAGACGAUGGCAAAUUGGUUAAUAUUCCAAUACCAACAUUAGUGUGCGAUGGAAGGACGCUUAGGGCUAAGGGGGCUAGCGGAUGGAAGUGCUAGUCUAAGGUCGUAGGAGGUUAUACAGGCAAAUCCGUAUAACAAUACUCCGAGAACUGAAAGGCUUUUUGAAGUCUUCGGAUGGAUAGAAGAACCCCUGAUGCCGUCGAGCCAAGAAAAGUUUCUAAGUUUAGCUAAUGUUGCCC
RNAcentral lists this ribosomal RNA (1624 nucleotides) under Campylobacter jejuni. RNAcentral describes it as "partial 23S ribosomal RNA". It matches the Rfam family "Bacterial large subunit ribosomal RNA", at positions 1 to 1643 of the family's 2925-position model. The record is from RNAcentral. Lineage: Bacteria; Pseudomonadati; Campylobacterota; Epsilonproteobacteria; Campylobacterales; Campylobacteraceae.